Molecule: non-coding RNA, 27 nt
Filed under: Mus musculus (house mouse)
Lineage: Eukaryota; Metazoa; Chordata; Mammalia; Rodentia; Muridae
Source: RNAcentral
UGUUUGGUAUGAACACGGAUACUCAGA